This 399-nucleotide ribosomal RNA is filed under the name Klebsiella oxytoca. Its description in RNAcentral is "bacterial SSU rRNA". It matches the Rfam family "Bacterial small subunit ribosomal RNA", at positions 39 to 432 of the family's 1533-position model. The record is from RNAcentral. Lineage: Bacteria; Pseudomonadati; Pseudomonadota; Gammaproteobacteria; Enterobacterales; Enterobacteriaceae.
GGGGAGUGCGGCAGCCUACCAUGCAAGUCGAACGGUAGCACAGAGAGCUUGCUCUCGGGUGACGAGUGGCGGACGGGUGAGUAAUGUCUGGGAAACUGCCUGAUGGAGGGGGAUAACUACUGGAAACGGUAGCUAAUACCGCAUAACGUCGCAAGACCAAAGAGGGGGACCUUCGGGCCUCUUGCCAUCAGAUGUGCCCAGAUGGGAUUAGCUAGUAGGUGGGGUAACGGCUCACCUAGGCGACGAUCCCUAGCUGGUCUGAGAGGAUGACCAGCCACACUGGAACUGAGACACGGUCCAGACUCCUACGGGAGGCAGCAGUGGGGAAUAUUGCACAAUGGGCGCAAGCCUGAUGCAGCCAUGCCGCGUGUAUGAAGAAGGCCUUCGGGUUGUAAAGUA